Molecule: transfer RNA, 65 nt
Filed under: Trypaea australiensis
Lineage: Eukaryota; Metazoa; Arthropoda; Malacostraca; Decapoda; Callianassidae
Description: tRNA-Asn
Source: RNAcentral
UUGAAAGAAGCCAAAAAGAGGUAAGUCACUGUUAAUGACUGAAUUGAGUUUUAACUCCUUUUAAG